GACGAACGCUGGCGGCGUGCUUAACACAUGCAAGUCGAACGGAAAGGCCCUGCUUUUGUGGGGUGCUCGAGUGGCGAACGGGUGAGUAACACGUGAGUAACCUGCCCUUGACUUUGGGAUAACUUCAGGAAACUGGGGCUAAUACCGGAUAGGAGCUCCUGCUGCACGGUGGGGGUUGGAAAGUGUCGGCGGUUGGGGCUGGACUCGCGGCUUAUCAGCUUGUUUGGCGGGUAGUGGCUUACCAAGGCUUUGACGGGUAGGCGGCAUGGGAGGGUGGACGGCCACAUUGGGACUGCGAUACGGCCCAGACUCCUACGGGCGGCAGCAGUGGAGAAUAUUGCACAAUGGGCGGACGCCUGAUGCAGCAACGCCGCGUGCGGGAUGACGGCCUUCGGGUUGUAAACCGCUUUCGCCUGUGACGAAGCGUGAGUGACGGUAAUGGGUAAAGAAGCACCGGCUAACUACGUG
This 468-nucleotide ribosomal RNA is filed under the name uncultured bacterium. RNAcentral describes it as "partial 16S ribosomal RNA". It matches the Rfam family "Bacterial small subunit ribosomal RNA", at positions 28 to 507 of the family's 1533-position model. The record is from RNAcentral.